This is a long non-coding RNA of Myodes glareolus (Bank vole), 607 nucleotides long. RefSeq lists it as uncharacterized. The record is from RefSeq and is a predicted model, not a curated record. Lineage: Eukaryota; Metazoa; Chordata; Mammalia; Rodentia; Cricetidae.
CUGCAGCUCUGAGUGCUGGCAGCCCCUAAGGCCAGUCCUGCUUCGAGGCUCUCUCCAGCACCUCUUGUUCCUACCCGCCUUGUGAGUGAGCCAUGGGGAGCACUGACUCGGGGCAGCCAGCAUCUGCUUGAGGUCGUUCUACCAGGACAGUGGCGCUUGACAUUGGAAGCACCGAAUGAGCUUUUCAAACCCUUCGCAUCUGAAUUCAGAAGAACUCAGUCAACAAUUCUGCUCAGGAGCGGAGCAGAGGAACAUUGUUUGAAGUUCUCGGAGACCAUUCUUAGGUGGACUGAGGCCCACGCUCACCAGGAGAUUAACCUCGGCAGGCUGCAGUGAGGAGGGACAGAGCAGGCUCGGACAGGACGUCCAAGAUGCAAGGGAAGUCCAAACAAAUCUACCUGCGUAAGGUAGACUCUCCCUACCACUGCCAGUCCGAGGCCUCGUUGUCCUGUGGCGAUCUCUGGCAAGUGUUCUCUCAGCCCUUCAUGUGGCACAUGGCCGUCUAUGACUUCCUGAUGACAUUAUUCUACACCAUUUUGUUCACGGUGCUGUUCAACAAUGCUGCGUGACCAUCUCUCUCAUGCCAAAUAAACCUUCGCAAAGGCCA